RNAcentral lists this ribosomal RNA (385 nucleotides) under uncultured bacterium. RNAcentral's name for it is "bacterial SSU rRNA". It matches the Rfam family "Bacterial small subunit ribosomal RNA", at positions 29 to 416 of the family's 1533-position model. The record is from RNAcentral.
AUUGAACGCUGGCGGCAGGCCUAACACAUGCAAGUCGAGCGCGAAAAUUCCUUCGGGGAUGAGUAGAGCGGCGGACGGGUGAGUAACGCGUAGGAAUCUGCCCGGUAGUGGGGGACAACAGUCGGAAACGACUGCUAAUACCGCAUACGCCCUAAGGGGGAAAGCAGGGGAUCUUCGGACCUUGCGCUAUCGGAUGAGCCUGCGUCGGAUUAGCUUGUUGGUGGGGUAAUGGCCUACCAAGGCGACGAUCCGUAGCUGGUCUGAGAGGAUGAUCAGCCACACUGGGACUGAGACACGGCCCAGACUCCUACGGGAGGCAGCAGUGGGGAAUAUUGGACAAUGGGGGAAACCCUGAUCCAGCCAUGCCGCGUGUGUGAAGAAGGCC